RNAcentral lists this ribosomal RNA (253 nucleotides) under uncultured bacterium. RNAcentral's name for it is "partial 16S ribosomal RNA". It matches the Rfam family "Bacterial small subunit ribosomal RNA", at positions 524 to 776 of the family's 1533-position model. The record is from RNAcentral.
UACGGGGGGGGCAAGCGUUGUUCGGAAUUACUGGGCGUAAAGCGCACGUAGGCGGCUUUGUAAGUUAGGGGUGAAAGCCCGGAGCUCAACUCCGGAACUGCCUUUAAAACUGCAUCGCUUGAAUCCAGGAGAGGUGAGUGGAAUUCCGAGUGUAGAGGUGAAAUUCGUAGAUAUUCGGAAGAACACCAGUGGCGAAGGCGGCUCACUGGACUGGUAUUGACGCUGAGGUGCGAAAGCGUGGGGAGCAAACAGG